This 944-nucleotide small RNA is filed under the name Rattus norvegicus (Norway rat). RNAcentral describes it as "uncharacterized LOC103694417". Lineage: Eukaryota; Metazoa; Chordata; Mammalia; Rodentia; Muridae. The record is from RNAcentral.
AAAAGCACCAGAAGUAAGCAGAAGACUCACUCACCCCAGACAGAGCCCCAGGGCAUGGUCUUUGACACCACAGAACAAUCCCAGAAAGAACUGGACUUGAUAGAGAAUGGGGAACAGAAAUCUGAGCAAAGGGCUUGUCUGUGACACAAUGAGGGUCACUGGAGAGAAUAAAUAACAAGCCUCCGUUGAACUCAUGUCUUUACUGGUGAGGACUGUUGGAGUGUGGCACCAUUCUCCGCCUCUGGGCCCCUCUCUUCUGUACGCCUCAUUCAUUCUAUCUGUGAAACUUCUAUUUUGUAAUACUCCAGUUCUGAAAGCCCUCCUGGUACCAGAACCUGUGUGUCUCCUGGAGAUGGGGCCUCAAGCAACUCUACUCUGUAUGAUAUGAGACGAAGUCCUGGGAGAGACAUCUCAACAGUGUAAGAAGCAGACAAAAUUUGCCUGAAUUGGGACAACCACCCUGGCAGCUCUGCAGAGCUGUUGAUGUUGUGUCUGGAUGGCAGGCAUUGUGGGACAGUAGAACACGCCAUGACAAAAAGGUGAGCUUCCCUUACCAAGGGAGAGAGCUAUCAUUCACUGUGAAGGAAAUUGCUAUUGUUUGCUUUCAGUGUGGCCAGCAAGCCUUUGUUGUACUUAGAUCUUUACAGGUGAGGACUGUUUGAAGCGAUGCUGAGCUUAGCACAGUCUUCUGUAAAGGCGGAAAAUCAUUUUGGCAGUAAAGCAGUAAGAGUGGCAGCUGUGUGCCAUAUUCCUUCAGCUGAGAGAAUGGCCUGAUUCUGUCUCAUGUGUGUCUAGAGGGUAAUAUUCUCUACCCACUCUCGUUUUCAUUGUGUUGGGACAACUGGCUUUGAUAUAACCUAUUGUAGUGGUUCUGUGUUUCCAGGGCCCUGGUCUCAAUUUUGCUCCAGACCUCUUAUAUAAUUCAGGAAGAAGGAUUGCAGAGA